Molecule: long non-coding RNA, 8148 nt
Filed under: Vitis vinifera (wine grape)
Lineage: Eukaryota; Viridiplantae; Streptophyta; Magnoliopsida; Vitales; Vitaceae
Description: long non-coding RNA (VVIN_LNC001714)
Source: RNAcentral
CAGAAUAUUCUGCCCUCAUCCGAGUUCAUUGUCUCACCAACUCAGUUGCUUGGAAGCCAAGUUUCCGAGUUCACCCCCCACUGCUUCGCCUACAUAUUCUUCUCUUCACUCCCCUCUCUUUCAGAGAUCCAGAGCUCAAUCUUGUGAUUUGGCUCUUUCUUUUGGGUUUUCGUUCUCUGUUUCUCCCUUCUUCUUCUCCAAAGGGGUUCGCCUCUCGAUCCUCUGUUUCUUGGUUUCCAUCCCCUCUGUUCUUUACUCUUUACUCCCUACUCCUCCUCUCUACGCCCUCUUCUCUAUCUUCACCAGGGGAUCGCGAAGUUAAUCGUCGGAUUCGCUUUCUUCCUGGGGUUUCAAAUUUUCUAUCCCCUGUUUUUGGUGUCUUCUCCUCCUCACUCCAUUGAGUGGUUUUCUCUGUUUCCUGGGUUACAUCCCCUGUUUUCCCCUAAUGCCAAUUUUACCCUAAAGCAAGCAUUAAACGCGUGCCGUUAGAAGCGUACAAAGCCGGAAUCGUCUUCACCAUUGGGAUCCAUAUCUUUCACUAGGCAGGACUUAGGAGUAUUGUGGGCGCCUGUUUUGGGACAUAUAUAGCGCACCAAACACCCUCGAGGAUCAUCCCCCGUUUCCAAAGGAUUCCACGCCUCAAUCCCUGUUUCUUUCUGCUCUGUUUCUUCAGCAAUGGAAACUGCAGUCUCCAGUAAUCCCAAUUACAAUCCAGGAAGACACCUCCCUCCUCGACAGAGAGGAGGGAUCAAAAAACAGAUAUUCAAAGACUUUCUUAAAUAUGUUAGUGCCAUCGCGCUUUUACUGGGCCAGAUGGAAGCAAAUCAAGGGGAUAGUGGCGGUCGUCGCCUUAGCUCCGCCUCCGCACCUCUUCCUGAAAUCCCUCCUGGCUACACUUCAGAUCUGAGGCGUUGAUUCAUUAAAUUAGAUUUGGCGAUGGUUGUCUUUUGAUAUAUGCUUGGAUGCCGAGAAAAUUUCACAUGUCAUUCCAAUUUCUCCCUUCCUUCAGUUUGACAGAACUGAGGAAAGGCGAUCGACGAUCGACGAUCGGAAACGUUAUGAUUGGGUACUGUCCUCCAUGCCUGUGUAUAUAAAUCCAGAAAUCUUCUUGUAGAAACUUUGUAUUUUCACUUUGUACAUACUUCGUUAAUAAAGUGGAAUGAAUCAAUCAAUGUAUUAUUGAUUUCUGGACUUCUGUGAUAUGAAAUGCGUCCAUGAAUUUGCAAAUGAAUCCGAAGAUCAUCUAUGCCACCGCCUCCUUCACUCUUCCAAAUUGUUUUCGCUUUAUAAUUGUGCAUAAUUCAGUUUUGAGCUGCCGUUGGUUGCCAAAAUCUCGUAGGGACACUUUCAAUUAUUCACUGAAUCAUCCAUGGUUCUUGCUAUCUCAGAUUGAAUUUUUUUUUCCCUUUUAGGGAAAUGCAUUUAUGUUUCUUAAAUUCUUUUGCAUAUAGGUUAAAGAUUUAUUUAUUUUCAAUUAGAAGUGUAAUGACUCCGAAGUUCCUUCCAAAUAUCUGGAACCCAACUGAAAAUUGCAAUGUUUGGAGAAUAAAACCCCAUCUAACUGGGGGAAUUUUCGUGGAAGAUUAAAAAAUAAAUAAAUUUUUGAAAUUUUUUUAAAUAUAUAUAUAUAAAAUGAAAUCCAAGUUGCGAAAUUCAGCCUUCUAGAAUGAUAUUUCUUUGUUGUUAAGUAAAGUAUAAAAUGGGUUGUAACUGGAUUUUUUUUACUUCGGAAGAUGACGAACAACAUGUGUCAUAAUAAAAAAAGACCCUCUUGUCCUUUGUGGUUGAAUCCUGUUGGGGGCUGAGUUCAGUCCAUCCCAAUCAUAAGUUGUCUUUUUGGGAAAUCCAAAGAAAAUUUAUAACUUUACGUUAAAAGUAAAAAAAUUAAAAACCAACAAUUCUCUUCUCUUUGAAUGUAGGCACUUUAAAUAAGGCUUCUCUGGAGACUUUAAGUUAAUGAAGACAAAGAAUAUAGAAGUUAAAUGAUCAAAGCUAAAUUAAUUUUACAUUCCUACACACCCUACAAACACAAUGGUCACGGCUCAUAAAUUUUUUUUCCCAAAUUGAAGAGUAUAAUAAUUUUUAUAAAAUUUUCCAAGCGAGGGAAUUUGAUUCAAAAAGCGGUGAUUAAUGAAAAAGGAUCAUAUAACAAAAAAAAAAAAAGUCAAUUUAUUAGUGCCUUGAGUAAAAUAUUUCAAUUUGAAGAGAAAACACGUGAGGAAAAAUCACCCACUGGGAAGUUAGGGAGUUAGGGAGUUAGUACCGUAACUGUAAUGAAUUACGGCGGUCCACACAGAAUAUUCUGCCCUCAUGACUCAUCCGAGUUCAUUGUCUCACCAAGUCAGUUGCUUGGAAGCCAAGUUUCCGAGUUCAGCCCACUGCUUGGCCUACAUAUUCUUCUCUUCACUCACCUCUCUUUCAGAGAUCCACAGCUCAAUCUUGUGAUUUUGCUCUUUCUUUUGGGUUUUCGUUCUCCAUUUCUCCCUUCUUCUCCGAAGGGGUUCGCCUCUCGAUCCUCUGUUCUUUACUCUUUACUCCCUACUUCUCCUCUCUACGCCCUCUUCUCUCUCUUCACCGAGGGAUCGCGAAGUUAAUCGUCGGAUUCGCUUUCUUCCUGGGGUUUCAAAAUUUCUAUCCCCUGUUUUUGGUGUCUUCUCCUCCUCACUCCAUUCAGUGGUUUUCUAUGUUUCCUGGGUUUCAUCCCCUGUUUUCCCCUAAUGCCAAUUUUACCCUAAAGCAAGCAUUAAACGCGUGCCGUUAGAAUCGUACAAAGCCAGAAUCGUCUUCACCAUUGGGAUCCAUAUCUUUCACUAGGCAGGACUUAGGAGUAUUGUGGGCGCCUGUUUUGGGAUAUAUAUAGCGCACCAAACACCCUCGAGGAUCAUCCCCCAUUUCCAAAGGAUUCCACGCCUCAAUCCCUGUUUCUUUCUGCUCUGUUUCUUCAGCAAUGGAAACUGCAGUCUCCAGUAAUCCCAAUUACAAUCCAGGAAGACACCUCCCUCCUCAACAGAGAGGAGGGAUCAAAAAACAGAUAUUCAGAGACUUUCUCAAAUAUGUUAGUGCCAUCGCGCUUUUACUGGGCCAGAUGGAAGCAAAUCAAGGGGAUAGUGGCGGCCGUCGCGUUAGCUCCGCCUCCGCACCUCUUCCUGAAAUCCCUACUGGCUACACUUCAGAUCUGAGGCGUUGAUUCGUUAAUUAGAUUUGGCGAUGGCUGUCUUUUGAUAUAUGCUUGGAUGCCGAGAAAAUUUCACAUUUCAUUCCAAUUUCAUUCCAAUUUCUCCCUUCCUUCAGUUUGACAGAACUGAGGAAAGUCGAUCGACGAUCGACGAUCGGAAGCGUUAUGAUUGGGUACUGUCCUCCCCUGUAUAUAAAUCCAGAAAUCUUCUUGUAGAAACUUUGUACUUUCACUUUGUACAUACUUCGUUAAUAAAGUGGAAUGAAUCAAUCAAUGUAUUAUUGAUUUCUGGAUUACUGUGAUAUGAAAUGCGUCCAUGAAUUUGCAAAUGAAUCCGAAGAUCAUCUAUGCCACCGCCUCCUUCACUCUUCCAAAUUGUUUUCGCUUUAUAAUUGUGCAUAAUUCAGUUUUGUGCUGCCGUUGGUUGCCAAAAUCUCGUAGGGACACUUUCAAUUAUGCACUGAAUCAUCCAUGGAAUCCACCAAACCGGCAAUUCCUAUACAUGGUUCUUGCUAUCUCAGAUUGAAAUUUUUUUUUUCCCUUUGAGGGAAAUGCAUUUAUGUUUCUUAAAUUCUUUUGCAUAUAGGUUAAAGAUUUAUUUAUUUUCAAUUAGAAGUGUAAUGACUCCGAAGUUCCUUCCAAGUAUCUGGAACCCAACUGAAAAUUGCAAUGUUUGGAGAAUAAAAUCGCAUCUAACUGGGGGAAUUUUCGUGGAAGAUUAAAAAAUAAAUAAAAUUUUGAAUUUUUUUAAUAUAUGUAUAUAUAUAUAUAUAUAAAAUGAAACCCACGUUGCGAAAUUCAGCCUUCUAGAAUGAUAUUUCUUUGUUGUUAAGUAAAGUAUAAAAUGGGUUGUAACUGGAAAUGUUAUUUUAUUUUAUUUUUAUAGGCGUUACUCAUUUUUAUUUUAUUUUUUUUUACUUCAGAAGAUGACGAACAACAUGUGUCAUAAUAAAAAUACCCUUUUGUCCUUUGUGGUUGAAUCCUGUUGGGGGCUGAGUUCAGUCCAUCCCAAUCAUAAGUUGUCUUUUUGGGAAAUCCAAAGAAAAUUUAAAACUUUAUGUUAAAGUAAAAAAAUUAAAAACCAACAAUUCUCUUCUCUUUGAAUGUCGGCAUUUUAAAUGAGGCUUCUCUCGUGACUUUAAGUUAAUGAAGACAAAGAAUAUAGAAGUUAAAUGAUCAAAGCUAAAUUAAUUUUACAUUCCUACACACCCUACAAAACAAUGGUCACGGCUCUUAAAUUUUUUUUCCCAAAUUGAAGGGUAUAUUAAUUUUUAAAAUUUUUUCCAAGUGAGGGAAUUUGAUUCAAAAAGCGGUGAUUAAUGAAAAAGGAUCAUAUAACAAAAAAAAAAAAAAAAGUCAAUUUAUUAGUGCCUUGAGUAAAAUAUUUAAAUUUGAAGAGAAAACACGUGAGGAAAAAUCACCCACUGGCAGUUAGGGAGUUAGUACUGUAACUGUAAUGAAUUACGGCGGUCACACAGAAUAUUCUGCCCUCAUCCGAGUUCAUUGUCUCACCAACUCAGCUGCUUGGAAGCCAAGUUUCUGAGUUCAGCCCCACUGCUUGACCUAUAUAUUCUUCUCUUCACUCACCUCUCUUUCAGAGAUCCAGAGCUCAAUCUUGUGAUUUUGCUCUUUCUUUUGGGUUUUCGUUCUCUAUUUCUCCCUUCUUCUUCUCCGAAGGGGUUCGCCUCUCGAUCCUCUGUUUCUUGGUUUCCAUCCCUCUGUUCUUUACUCUUUACUCCCUACUCCUCCUCUCUACGCCCUCUUCUUUCUCUUCACCGAGGGAUCGCGAAUUUAAUCGUCGGAUUCGCUUUCUUCCUGGGGUUUCAAAAUUUCUAUCCCCUGUUUUUGGUGUCUUCUCCCUACUCCAUUCAGUGGUUUUCUCUGUUUCCUGGGUUCCAUCCCCUGUUUUCCCCUAUCUUUUAUUUAGCUUCGAAACUGUUCAAACCCAUCUCCUGCAAAUGGAUACUCCAGUGUCUAUUUCCAAAGACAGACCAGAACGACGCUUCCCUCCACCUAGAGGACGAGUCAAAAAAGAAAUUUUCAAAAGCCUGGUGAAAUCUUUCGGCACAGUUGCAGGAAGGGCGAGUGGGGCGAUAAGGAAGCGAGAAGAAAAUGGUGGUCGGCUCAGCUCGACCUCCACUACUCCCGCUGAAACUCCCAGUGGAUACAGCUCAGAUGGGUAGUCUUGAUCCACUGAAUUCAUAUUUCUCAACUCCCCUGUACAGUUGGUGAACGCUGACCUGCGAUGCUAUUUGGAUUCCUAGAAAGUGUUUCAUUUUUUCAUUUUCUUGUUCCUUUUCUUUCGAUGGAAAGAGAAGAGGCGUUGAAGAUUGGAAUUCUCUGUUGAUUGUUGUAAUAUAAAAAUAAAAUCAUGAGCCCAGAGAUGUUCUCAUCUGUAAACAUAUGAUUCUGGUGUUCCGAGCCUGUGUCAUUUUAGCAAAUUUUGGAACAAUAUUAAUUCAUGGAAAUGUGACGAGAAUGAUGAUUUGUUCUCCCAGUUUUCUCAAACACUUGCUACAUUUUUUUUUUUCUCAGAUUCUCUGUUCUUCAUUGAAAGCAGAGGAAAAUAAGUUCAUAUCUACUAGGAUAGAUCUUGAAGAUAAUGCAUAUAAUUCAGAUCAUGGGGUCUGUUUGGAUCGGAUGAUUUUCGAUUCUCUUGAAAAUUUGAACUCCUAAAUCGCCAAUCUCCCUACAGCAACAUUUGGUUUAAGUUCUCUGUUUAAGUCAAUACAAGAACAAUAUUUUGCUAUUCGGUCAGGUAUUUUAAAACCUAUUUGAUUUGAUUUGUAUACGCCUUUUGGAAGGUCCCUUUCCUUCAUUCUUAUACACAAUCUUUUAUUAGGUUCUAAUAAUUAAAAUAAUUUGAUUAUGAUUAAUUUAAGCAUGGAAGUUAGGGUUAUGAAAAAAGAUAAUGUAUUUUAAGUUUCAAGAAUGGGCAUCAUUAAGAAAAUAACAAAGAGAGUGAGUCAGUUGAGGGCGGCCCAGCCGAGGGUGGCCCAGCCUUUUGGGCACAGGUUACCAUGCAAUACUAGGCUGGGGACGCCUGCAGUGAAUAAAUUAUAUCAUCUCAGUCCCAUGUGACUUCAACACGGUCUCCCUCAAGACUCUCAAUAAGUCAUCCUUACGUGAAUUUGUUAGUUGAAUAAUUUGAGAAAAAAAAUAUUAAAAAAAAAGGAGAAAAAUAGGGGGAAAUAAAAUAUAUAUAUUUAAGUCAUCCUUACAUAUUUAUUUUUUAUUUUUUAAAAAUAAAUAUGUAUGAACGGUCAUAUCAUAGCCUCUUGUAACUCAAUAAGUUGUUGGUAACAAUUCUUGUAAUAAUUAUAGUAGGCUAAAAUUGAUGUAUUAAUGUAUAUUUUUUAUUUUGUUUUUUAAGGUUUGCUUGAUAGUAAUUUUAUAAAAUGUUUUUAACUUUUUUUAACAUUUAAGAAAUAUUUAUUUUUUUAAGUGUUAGAAACAAAUUCAAGUGCUAAAAAAAAUUAAAAACAUUUUCUAGAAUUAUUGACAAAUAGACUACUACUAUGCUAAAAAUUUCAAAAUAUCGUGAUAAAACCAUUUUUUAAAAUUAUUGUUAAAUAGAUUUUAUAUCAUUACAUGUAUUUUAAUUUUAAUAAUAUGUUAUAUUAAUGUCUAAGUUGGUAAUUAUGUGUUGUAUUAAAAUUAGUGAGAAACUUAUAUAUAUUAAAAUUAUUUCAUCACUAUAUCGAAAAAAAUAAAUUAAAUUAAAUCAUUUUAAAAUAAUAUAUAAAAAUAAUUUAUUGAUUUUUUUUAAAAAAAUUUCUCUCUCCUUUUUUCUUGUAUUUUCUCUCAAAUUUUUUAAAAAUCAAACAUUGCCUUAAUUACAUAAUAAAGAAUCUCAGAACAUAAAAAUAUUUUUAAAUGUUAAUAUUUUUAUCAUCACUAAAAUUGAUAGUUACUCCAUAGAAGUCAGCCUUCCAGAAUAUGGAAGCUGGUGUUCCUUGGUCCUUAAGCGAAAAGGAUGUCUGUGGUAUUUUACCACAAGGAAUAGAAUAUGAUUGGACUAGAUUUGGCCUUCAGUUUCUUUUGACUGACCAUAUCUAGAAUCGAAAUCCUAGCUGGCAACAAAAGACACAUUGACUGAGUCAAGCUAAACCUUCUUUAUUGACUCAACAACAACUCUCGAUAAAAAGAAUCACUGUAAGAUGAUAUUUUACAAUUGGGUCAAAGCUAAUGUUUGUUUAGGAUAAAAAAAUAGACACUACCCUACCCUUUUCCUUCCUUGGUUGAUAGAAAAUAAUAUGGGAGUGAAAGGCAUUGUAAGGUAGACCUUUUUGAUAGGUUACGAAAAGGCAUCCCUAAUAAAAUGUGUUAACUGGUUUCAUAAUUUUAUAUCUGAAUCUUAAUCAUUUGAAUUUUAUAUAUGUCCUAAUAUUUUAUGCCUGGAUGACAAUUUCGAAACGGGUCGUUCUCAUCUCAACUUUGCCUAUUUAAUUCUUUAAAAAAAAAUUAUUUUUAAAAUUUUAAAUUAUAUUAAAAUAAAUAUAUUUUAUAAAUAAUUAAAAUAUUAUAAUUUUUUAUAACUUAUUUUAUUAGAAAAAAUUAUUAUUAUUAUAUAUUAAAAAUAGAAAAAUUUAAAAAUUAUUGGAUUUAUCAAAAUUCUAAAGGCUUGAUUUCAUAUUGCUAAAAAUUUUAGAAAAAAUAUAGAUAUGUAAAGGAAAAGUACUGAUCAUGAUUCAUUCAAAACUAGUUUUGUUCUUCUUUUUUUUUGUUUUAAUUGGUUUUAUUUUUUAGUUUUAAAUUAUUUUUAAAAAUUACUAAAUUCAUUUAAAAUAAAUUCAAUGCAUUAAGUUUUGCUCAAUUUGAAGUUCAUUUGCUAGUAAAAAAAAUCUUAAAAUAUAAUCAUGUUUAAAAAAGAAAUAACAAACUCUUUUUGUACUAGUUUUAGUUUGUGAAUUUUUUUAUACUAACCGGGUUUUUAAGUUUCAAAUUAGUUUUUAUAUAAACUUGUAAACAAA